Molecule: RNA transcript, 1392 nt
Organism: Salvia hispanica
Lineage: Eukaryota; Viridiplantae; Streptophyta; Magnoliopsida; Lamiales; Lamiaceae
Source: RefSeq, a predicted model, not a curated record
CUAAAGAGUUUUGACGACCAAAUUCAUACCAAUUCCUGUUGAAAGUUUAUCCAAAUUCGCGUUCCCUCAAUCGUAAGCAUGCGUGUUACUUUGAUCCAACGCUCCACACAUAGUUGGAUUGCUUGAAAUAUUCGUUCGUGAACCUAAGAUCAUCGGAUAAUGCUUUCAAUCUACUUUCUAUCAGUCACUCGCCCGCAUAUGACGUCGCACUACGGUAGCUCGCCAGAAACAUCUUCAGAGAAGUGAUCGUCGCGGCAAUCUCACUAGCUAACGUUUUUCCUGCAAGAUCUUAGCUUAUUUAUCGUGAAAGUUAUAGCUUGGAACGUUUUUGUGAUACUACCAGUGGUGAGUGGUGGAUCUGAUUCUGUUUGCAAACCAGAUGUCUCGAAUUGACAAUCUUCUGUAUUCCGUGGAUCGGAUCUCGUUUUGGAGAUACUAUUAAUCAAGAUCUUCUAUUUAGCCUGAGUUGUGGAUGGAAGGUUCCGUUCCUAGUGAUACACCGGCUUCCCAAGAAUUAGGGAGCUGCAGUGAGUCCGUGUUGACUUCCAGUAUCCAAACCCAAUACAGUUCAGGAGAUCUUUCUAUGAAUGAUGUGAAAAUGUAAGUGUUGAAGAAGUUGGAGUAUCAAGUGGUGGCUUAUCGGAAAAAUCAAUAGCAAAUGUGAUUUAGUGAUGGAAGAUGACUACAAGAACUCAGCCGAAUCCAGUGACAAUCUUCCUGAUUCCACAUCAUCUGCUACUCGUUAUAAGCUUGCAUCUUCCAUGAAAGGUAGCCGUGAAAAGCAGGGUAUACCACUUAUGAAGCUGUCUGUCACUUGGGCCGUCAAGCAGGUAUCAAUACAUCCGCAAUAAUGGCAGGAAAUAUGGGAAGAACAAGCAGAAAGGUGGUGGGAAAUCCUCGCGAGGGGGCAAAGGCAAAGACAAGAAGCAAGCUCGGAAGAAUGGUGGCACCACCACCAAAUUCAAGCCAGAACAAGAUGACAGUUUGGCUAGCUUCUCCGAGCCUGAGGCAGGCAUCAUCGAUUUCAACGUUGUCAAUACAGUUCCAUUCCGUGGAAGCAGCUUUCUCAAGAAAUCGGGCCAGAAUUUACACUUCCCAGUUGCGGAGGCCACAUGAUUGAUAGGGUUACCUUGCAUGUUUUCUCUCUUCCAAUGUAAAUAAAUAAAUAAAUAAGCACUCGUUACGGCUUAAAGCUUUCCAGGAGUUGGGAUUUUUGAGAAAGGGCAUAUCACCUACAUGGAAUUAGGUACUACUCUUUUACUAGCAAUUUUGUGUUGUGAAUGUAUGUAGAUAUAUUUCAAUCUUGAUCUUGCGUAUUAAUUGCAUGUGGCAUGCAAUCCUAGGCUGUUCUACUAAAGCCGACUCAUUAUAAAGGUUCUGUGUUCUUGCAAA